AUGCACAUUCUAACAUGAAUCAUAUAAAAUUCAGCAGUAUAUCAAUUGAAUAUAUGAUCCUAUCAUAUAUGCAUCUAUUCAUAUCAACUCAUAUGAAUACAUAAUCAUACAAAGAUAUAUGAUUGCAAAAUUCAUUUAUAAAUUUCAUAACAUAAUUCAUAUCAAACAUAUGAAAUUAGAUUAUUGUUAUCUCAUAGCAAAAUUCAAAACUUAUGUGAUCUAUAAUUCUACACCUAAGCAUGACAUAUGAUUGAACCAAUCAAGGAUAGCU
This 271-nucleotide long non-coding RNA is filed under the name Elaeis guineensis (African oil palm). Its description in RNAcentral is "long non-coding RNA (EGUI_LNC019937)". Lineage: Eukaryota; Viridiplantae; Streptophyta; Magnoliopsida; Arecales; Arecaceae. The record is from RNAcentral.